Molecule: long non-coding RNA, 4424 nt
Filed under: Homo sapiens (human)
Lineage: Eukaryota; Metazoa; Chordata; Mammalia; Primates; Hominidae
Description: HSALNT0226897
Source: RNAcentral
AGGGGUGUUAACUUCAGAACUGUCCUAGGUUCAGUUCAGAUCCCCGCGAGGGAAGGGGAUUAAAGAGAGAAGGAAGUUGAGCCUCUGAGCCCAUUGCGCCCCGGAAUCUGGGAGGCGGCGUGACCAGGUGCCCGGGUUCCAUCCGCUGGGGCUGGGCAGCCCCCCUGCCCCCGCCCAGUACAGAGGCUCCUGCCGGGGGAGGCGUCCAUCGCGUUCGCUUACUUCUCUAGACCAACAAGCGAGGGACGCGGAGACUGAGUUGGCUGCGGCCACCGGGUCCCCGGACACCGUCUUCAUUCACUCCCACCCUCAGUCAAGCACCUGUACCCGCAGUCCUUUCCUAAAAGAAGAAAAACGGCCGGUCGCGCGCUGUCCAGAGUACUCAGUCCUGGAUCCAGGAGGUGGCUGGCGAGAAUAUAGAGCUAGAAAAUCGGGGACCGAGCCUGAAGCCUCAACUACCAGUCGCGUUGCUCCGCUUCAGGUCGGUCCAGGUCUGUGCCUCAGCUACAAGGGACAAGGAUGCUCCUGAGGCUGGCCUGGUCGGCACUUGCCUCAGCCUCGAGGGAGUCCCGCGCCCUUCUCCUUCCCAACCCCAGACCAGAGAAGCUGUACCCUCUGCAGCCCGGGUCGCUCAGCUCCACAUGGGCUCCGGGUAUGGUGGAGGCCGGUGGUUGGGUUCUGAGUGAUCGAGUAGUGUGCACGGUCUGGGCGGGCCCUGGAGAGCUACUCGUUCCUCGACCUCCCCUCCCCGCCCUAGAAACCCACAUCUCUGCAGGCCAAGGCGGAGUCACAGAUGAAGCUCGUUGAGAGCAGGUCAAAGCUGCCUGACCCGAUGGCCCCCUGCUGCGCUAGCCAGGAAGGUGCCCAGGAGCCACAUAUGGCUCUUAAACACUUGAAAUAUGGCUGGUCCCCUUGAGAUGUGCUGCUAGCCUAGCUGAUACAGCAAAUCCUCCAGGUGUUUGGUAUGGUGAUUCACCAGCCCAAGAAGAAGUAAAAAAACGGAAAGCCCAGGUCGAAGCCCCAGUGCUGGGGCUGAACGUGAGGGGUCACCCCAUACACACUCCCCUCUCGCUGCUGGAAAAACCUGCUGAGAGACGGGUGUCUCGCUAUAUUGCCCAGGCUGGUCCCCAACCCCUGGGCUCAAGCGAUCCUACCCCCUCGGCCUUCCAAAGUACUGGGAUCACAGGCGUGAGCCACCGAACCUGGCUAGGGAAUUCUUCUUCAGCCGAACAGCAGCGGCAAAGGCUAAGGGUCCUAGAAAGGAACGGGAAACCGUCACCUGCCCAGGUGGGACGCGAGGCAAGGAACCCAGCGCAGGAGGCCGCUGGGUCACGGAGGUUUCCUGUCUGCUUCCCGCCGUCACUGCCGGCCGCCUCCCACCUUCUCCCGGCCCCCUGCAACCCAGCCCACCCCAGCCCACCUCCCCCUGGUGGGGACACGGUUUUCUUUCCGGGGUGCCUCGCAGUUCCUGCAGUCCCUCCCUCUUCCCCACCCCCACCCCCAUCCUUUGGGCAGGAGUCACAACAAUUUCUUGCUCCAGUUUGGCAGCUGCGGCUCUGUGCCACACCCUCCAACGGGGCUGGAUGCCCAGGGUCUGCUGCCUCCAUGGGAUCUGGCUGGGCUCGAAGUCGGGGCUCAGCAAAGGUAUUUCGUGUGAACGAGGAAUCCACGGGUCAGACCCGCUUCCACAGCCCUGAGUCGGGGCGGGUGCCAGGGCCAGUCACCCUGACACUCAGGAGGUGCCGGCCUGUGGGGCGUCCGCGGGUGGGCCUCUGACGCAGAGAAAGACCCAGAUCCAGCUACCUCGGGGGCCUCCUGCUGCGCCUCGCCUUUGGGGCAGGCCUGAGGGCAACGCUUACUGCGGAGCAACUGUGUUCUACAGUGUAGUCCCGACACUGAAGACUCCUGGUCCUGGACUCUGCUGUAAUCUAGAAAUCCACUAAGCCAUCUGCCCCUGGCGAUGCAAGAUUUGGUGAAAGCAGAUGCCUGCUCAUCCCAGGAAACCAUCCUGGAGUGGGGUUUCACUACUCCUGACCUCAGGUGAUCUACCUGACUCAGCCUCCCAAAGUGCUGGGAUUAAAGACGUGAGCCACCGCGCCUGCCCUGAAUUUCCUCUUCUUGUAAGGACUCCAGUCAUAUUGGAUUAAGGCCCAUCCUAAUAACCUCAUUUUGUCUUAAUUACCUCUUUAAAUACCCAGUCUCCAAAUACAGCCACAUUCUGAGGGACUGAGAGUUAGAACUUCAACAUAUGGAUGGUGGACAGUCACAACUCAGCUCAUUAAAGUGAACAUUGUGUACAUGGUUUAGUAUGAACAUAUGUCUUAAAUUUCCUUGAGCAUAGGAGUGGAAUUCCACUUAGGAAUGGAAUUUUGGGGUCAUUUGGUAGUUCUGUGUUUAACAUUUUGAGGCUAUUAUUCACAGUGGCUGGAUUAUUUUAUAUUCCCACCAGCCUGACUGAGGGCUCGUGUCCUAGAAAAGUAGUAAUAGAUUUACAUAGAUAUUUUGCAUCAAAAAAUAUUUAUUCUGAGAUUAUACUUAAAAACCAGGAAACAGGCUGGGCGCGGUGGCUCACGCCUGUAAUCCCAGUACUUUGGGAAGUCAAGGUGGGUGGAUCACGAGGUCGGGAGUUCGAGACCAGCCUGGCAUGGUAAAACUUCGUCUGUACCAAAACCACAAAAAUCAGCUGGGCGUGAUGGUGCGCGCCUGUAGUCCCAGCUACUGGAGAGGCUGAGGCAGAAAAAUCGCUUGAACCCGGAAGGUGAAGGUUGCAGUGAGCCGAGAUCGCGCGCCACUGCACAGCAGCCUGGGCAACAGAGCGAGACUCCGUCUCAAAAAACAAAACAAAACACAACAAAAAACAAAUGGAAACAAUCUACUUGCCCCAAAAUAGGGCAUAGAUUAAAUGAAAUUAUCAUAAAUCCAAAAUGGAGGAUAAUGUCAUAAAAAAUAAUGUUAUAUAAUGAUGAUCCCAUGUGUGUAAAACUCUAGAAAAUGCAAAAUAAUACAGUGACAGAAAGCAGAGAGUGACGGACUGCCAAAACUUACCAAAUUGUACACUUUUUUUUUUUUUUAAAUGGAGUCUCACUCUGUUGCCCAAGCUGGAGUGCAGUGGCGCGAUCUCGGCUCACUGCAGCCUCUGCCUCCCAGGGUUAAGCGAUUCUCCUGCCUCAGCCUCCCGUGUAGCUGGGAACAGGCACGUGCCAUCACACCGAGCUACUUUUUGUAUUUUUAGUAGAGACGAGGUUUCACCAUGUUGGCCAGGCUGGUCUCCAACUUGUUAGAUAUGAGUUCCAAAUUUCUUUUCAAAGAUUCAAUAUGUCAGUAUGUUCAAUUCUUUACCUUCUACUUUUAAACUUAACUUCCUCAUAAAGCAACCUUUUUCAAUUACCUACUCCACCCUGACUCUUUCGAUUACCUGCUCUGUAAUAACCAUUUUUCCCGCCAAACCAUUCGCUCCGUCACUCUCUUUAAAUUAUCCAAUGGCAAUUAGUUUAGCCUGUGCGGUCUAACCCUAGCCAAUAGGGGAAUGACACAGCAGCAGGGGCCACGUGCGAAAGGGAUAAGAACCCCUUCCCCUCCCUUGUCCAAGUGUGCUCUCACCAUUGCUCCAUCUGUAAGGGCGCACCCUUCUAUAGAAGUACCUUGCCUUGCUGAGAAUUAAAAACAAAAUUUUAUAUUUUCGGGCUAUUUCUUUUGCGGCACCGAAACUUUGUAUAUAACAAACUCCUGACCUCAAGUGAUUCGCCCACCUCCGUCUCCUGAAGUGUUGGGAUUACAGGUGUGAACCACCGUGCCGGGCCUACAACCGGCAAUUCUUGAUCCUUCACACCGACUCUCGCUGUCCUCCAAGAUUUUUCCUCUUUACCUAUAGAGUCUCCAGGACUCGAUCCCCAAUCCCUUGCAAGCCCUGCAGGGAAACUGGAGGGCACUGGCUUCCCCACCUUUACUCCCCACAGUUGCUCCUCAGGACCACAGGAACGGAAGGGACCAAGCCCCUAACCUAGAAUGUUAGUGAUUUUAGAAGGAAAAAACUUUGGGCUUAUUCAGGACUAGAACCUGAGAUCUCUUACGCCUUAUGUGAAAAGCAUGCCUGAAUCAGGCUUGACGGCACAUUCCUAUAAUCCCAGAACUUGGGUAGUCUGAGAAGGGAGGAUUACUUGAGCCCAGGAGUUCAAGACCAGGCUGGGCAACCAAGAGGGACCCCAUCUCUACUAUUGCUACUGCUACUACAAAAAAUAAAUUGCCAAGAAUUGUGGCUCAGCCUGUAGUCUCAGCUACCUGAGAGGCUGAAGUGGAAGGACUACUCGAGCCCAGAAGGUCGAGGCUACAGUAAGCUGUGACUGCAUCACUGCACUCCAGCCUGGGUGACAAAGUGAGACUCUAUCUCAAAAUUUCAGAAAAAGCAAAAUAGAAAAGCAGGCCUA